RNAcentral lists this ribosomal RNA (398 nucleotides) under uncultured bacterium. RNAcentral describes it as "bacterial SSU rRNA". It matches the Rfam family "Bacterial small subunit ribosomal RNA", at positions 28 to 428 of the family's 1533-position model. The record is from RNAcentral.
GACGAACGCUGGCGGCGUGCUUAACACAUGCAAGUCGAACGGAAAGGCCUCAGCUUGCUGGGGUACUCGAGUGGCGAACGGGUGAGUAACACGUGGGUGAUCUGCCUUGCACUUCGGGAUAAGCUUGGGAAACUGGGUCUAAUACCGGAUAGGACAGCUGUUUAGUGUCAGUUGUGGAAAGUUUUUUCGGUGCAAGAUGAGCUCGCGGCCUAUCAGCUUGUUGGUGGGGUAAUGGCCUACCAAGGCGUCGACGGGUAGCCGGCCUGAGAGGGUGGACGGCCACAUUGGGACUGAGAUACGGCCCAGACUCCUACGGGAGGCAGCAGUGGGGAAUAUUGCACAAUGGGCGCAAGCCUGAUGCAGCGACGCCGCGUGAGGGAUGACGGCCUCGGUUGUAA